Molecule: long non-coding RNA, 755 nt
Organism: Musca domestica (house fly)
Lineage: Eukaryota; Metazoa; Arthropoda; Insecta; Diptera; Muscidae
Exons: 2
Source: RefSeq, a predicted model, not a curated record
AUAUAUAUAUACAGGCAUGUCACAGAAGUUUUACGAAAUCGAUUUAAUUCACCUUUUCCAAAUCGUUACGAUUUGCUUUUGCUUCUUCAGCACUCGUACGUUUUGACUAAUCCGGAAAAAAAUCAUUUCACAUUUUUGAAAUAAAAAUAUGGUAACUCCAUGAAAAAAAAGUCGUAAACAAAUUAUUGACAAUUAAAAAAGGAGUUUAAAUUGUUUUUUAUAAUAUAAACACCAAAAGUAAAAAUGCCAGGGGCUUCAAUACUUGCUGUAAUGGAUGAAGAAAUAAAUCAGCGGUCUACUGAAAAAAUUCGUCGCCGGACAUUGAGGAACGCAUCAGAUCCUUUAUCUCACUCAAAUGCAGAAUUUAUAACUUAUUAUCGACAGCAAAGCUGUCAAUUCCGUCCAUAGAGAAUCAACAACAACCUUAUCACCUUUUACAUAGCCCCUGGCAAUAUCGUGAUGUUUAUCCAUAAAAUUGAUAAAAAUUUUGUCCUGUUUAACGUUUCGGUGUUUGCCCCUAAAGUAUAAAAUAAAUUAAAUAAACAGUUUUUGACGAAAAUUUAGAAAUAUGUAUGUAAAUACUUACAUUUUUGCCCGAUUGACUGAAGCGCUCUGUCUCAAACCCAACAAUUAAUUGUUUUUUUGUUUUUCCCCUUUCUUGCUUUUUGGUCUGUCAGUUGUACAUUUCUACACCUUCUUCUUCAACACAUAUGGCAAUAAUUCAACAAUACAAGUCUGCCGUUCAUUUCUGCAUA